RNAcentral lists this transfer RNA (76 nucleotides) under Vicugna pacos (alpaca). Its description in RNAcentral is "tRNA-Ala (AGC) (tRNA-Ala-AGC-390-1)". It matches the Rfam family "tRNA". From Rfam's summary of the family: Transfer RNA (tRNA) molecules are approximately 80 nucleotides in length. Their secondary structure includes four short double-helical elements and three loops (D, anti-codon, and T loops). Further hydrogen bonds mediate the characteristic L-shaped molecular structure. tRNAs have two regions of fundamental functional importance: the anti-codon, which is responsible for specific mRNA codon recognition, and the 3' end, to which the tRNAs corresponding amino acid is attached (by aminoacyl-tRNA synthetases). tRNAs cope with the degeneracy of the genetic code in two manners: having more than one tRNA (with a specific anti-codon) for a particular amino acid; and 'wobble' base-pairing, i.e. permitting non-standard base-pairing at the 3rd anti-codon position. The record is from RNAcentral. Lineage: Eukaryota; Metazoa; Chordata; Mammalia; Artiodactyla; Camelidae.
GGAAGGGUAUAUAGCUCAGUGGUAGAGCGCAUGCUUAGCAUGCAUGAGGUCCUGGGUUCAAUCCCCAGUACCUCCA